UGACAUUCUCAGGGCGGGGUGAAAUUCCCCACCGGCGGUAAGUUUUUUUGCGGAGUCACAUCUGUGUGUCUCGCAAAUCAAACACACUUAGUUUGAAUUGCGAGGCCGUUGAGCCGCACAAAAAACAAAGCCCGCGAGCGGCCUCUUUGUGGGGUGACAGCAGAUCCGGUGUAACUCCGGAGCCGACGGUUAAAGUCCGGAUGGAAGAGAAUGGGU
Molecule: non-coding RNA, 216 nt
Filed under: Aliiroseovarius pelagivivens
Lineage: Bacteria; Pseudomonadati; Pseudomonadota; Alphaproteobacteria; Rhodobacterales; Paracoccaceae
Description: FMN riboswitch aptamer (RFN element)
Rfam family: FMN riboswitch aptamer (RFN element)
About the family: The RFN element is a highly conserved domain that is found frequently in the 5'-untranslated regions of prokaryotic mRNAs that encode for flavin mononucleotide (FMN) biosynthesis and transport proteins. This element is a metabolite-dependent riboswitch that directly binds FMN in the absence of proteins.
Source: Rfam by way of RNAcentral